GAUGAACGCUGGCGGCGUGCCUAAUACAUGCAAGUCGAGCGAACGGACGAGAAGCUUGCUUUUCUGAUGUUAGCGGCGGACGGGUGAGUAACACGUGGAUAACCUACCUAUAAGACUGGGAUAACUUCGGGAAACCGGAGCUAAUACCGGAUAAUAUUUUGAACCGCAUGGUUCAAAAGUGAAAGACGGUCUUGCUGUCACUUAUAGAUGGAUCCGCGCUGCAUUAGCUAGUUGGUAAGGUAACGGCUUACCAAGGCAACGAUGCAUAGCCGACCUGAGAGGGUGAUCGGCCACACUGGAACUGAGACACGGUCCAGACUCCUACGGGAGGCAGCAGCAGGGAAUCUUCCGCAAUGGGCGAAAGCCUGACGGAGCAACGCCGCGUGAGUGAUGAAGGUCUUCGGAUCGUAAAACUCUGUUAUUAGGGAAGAACAUAUGUGUAAGUAACUGUGCACAUCUUGACGGUACCUAAUCAGAAAGCCACGGCUAACUACGU
Molecule: ribosomal RNA, 496 nt
Filed under: uncultured bacterium
Lineage: Bacteria
Description: partial 16S ribosomal RNA
Rfam family: Bacterial small subunit ribosomal RNA
Source: RNAcentral